CCCAGUUCCUACAGGAAAUGAACCAUUUCUCAAUCUCAACAAACCAGUCCCUACAGGAAAUGAACAUUUCUCAAUCUCAACAAACCAGUCCCUACAGGAAAUG
Salvelinus sp. IW2-2015 is the source of this 103-nucleotide non-coding RNA. Lineage: Eukaryota; Metazoa; Chordata; Actinopteri; Salmoniformes; Salmonidae. The record is from RefSeq and is a predicted model, not a curated record.